AAUAUACUUCCUCCGUCCCAAAAUUCUUGUCUUAAAUUUGUUUAGAUAUGAAUGUAUCUAGUCAAGUUUUAGUAUUUAGAUACAUACAUUUUUAAACAAAGUUAAGACAAGAAUUUUGGAACAGAAGGAGUACUUC
This 136-nucleotide microRNA precursor is filed under the name Hordeum vulgare. RNAcentral's name for it is "microRNA MIR1122". It matches the Rfam family "MIR1120/MIR1122 microRNA precursor family". Lineage: Eukaryota; Viridiplantae; Streptophyta; Magnoliopsida; Poales; Poaceae. The record is from RNAcentral.